CCCUUAGAUGUUCUGGGCCGCACGCGCGCUACACUGUUCGACGCAGCGAGUCUUAACCUUGACCGAAAGGUUUGGGUAAUCUUCAGCAAAGUCGAACGUGAUGGGGAUCGAUCAUUGCAAUUAUUGAUCGUGAACGAGGAAUUCCUAGUAAGUACAAGUCAUCAGCUUGCGCUGAUUACGUCCCUGCCCUUUGUACACACCGCCCGUCGCUACUACCGAUUGAAUGGUUUAGUGAGAUCUCUGGAUUGACGCUGGCUAGGGGGCGACCCUUGGCCAGACUGCUCGAGAAACUGCUCAAACUUGAUCAUUUAGAGGAAGUAAAAGUCGUAACA
This 332-nucleotide ribosomal RNA is filed under the name uncultured eukaryote. RNAcentral describes it as "partial 18S ribosomal RNA". It matches the Rfam family "Eukaryotic small subunit ribosomal RNA", at positions 1470 to 1796 of the family's 1831-position model. The record is from RNAcentral.